This 204-nucleotide ribosomal RNA is filed under the name uncultured bacterium. RNAcentral's name for it is "partial 16S ribosomal RNA". It matches the Rfam family "Bacterial small subunit ribosomal RNA", at positions 1081 to 1277 of the family's 1533-position model. The record is from RNAcentral.
UAAGUCCCGCAACGAGCGCAACCCUUGUUANUUAGUUNGCCAYGCAUUNAAGNUUGGGCACUCUAAUGAGACUGCCGNGUGACAAACCGNGAGGAAGGUGGGGAUGACGUCAAGUCAUCAUGCCCCUUAUGACCUGGGCUACACACGUGCUACAAUGGGCAGUACNAACGAGAAGNCGAGCCUGCGAAGGCAAGCGAAUCUCUG